Musa acuminata subsp. malaccensis (wild Malaysian banana) is the source of this 107-nucleotide non-coding RNA. NCBI's taxonomy places the organism in Eukaryota, Viridiplantae, Streptophyta, Magnoliopsida, Zingiberales, Musaceae. The record is from RefSeq and is a predicted model, not a curated record.
GUCGUCCCAGAUCUGAGCAUCCCAAACAUCAUCCAACACCAGCAAGAACUUGUUCCCUCUCAGGAGACCAUCCACCAAGGGCUCCAGCAGACUCCUGCUCUGUUCUC